AACGCGAAGAACCUUACCUGGUCUUGACAUGUCGCGAAUCCUGCAGAGAUGCGGGAGUGCCUUCGGGAAUGCGAACACAGGUGCUGCAUGGCUGUCGUCAGCUCGUGUCGUGAGAUGUUGGGUUAAGUCCCGCAACGAGCGCAACCCUUGUCCUUAGUUGCCAGCACGUAAAGGUGGGAACUCUAAGGAGACUGCCGGUGACAAACCGGAAGAAGGGGGGGAUGACGUCAAGUCAUCAUGGCCCUUACCACCAGGGCUACCCACGUACUACAAUGGGAGGUACAGAGGGAAGCCAAGCCGCGAGGGGGAACCAAUCCCCAUAAAACCUCUCUCAGUCCGGAUCGCAGUCUGCAACUCGACUGCGUGAAGUCGGAAUCGCUAGUAAUCGCGAAUCAGCAUUGUCGCGGUGAAUACGUUCCCGGGUCUUGUACACACCG
This 437-nucleotide ribosomal RNA is filed under the name uncultured bacterium. RNAcentral's name for it is "bacterial SSU rRNA". It matches the Rfam family "Bacterial small subunit ribosomal RNA", at positions 958 to 1392 of the family's 1533-position model. The record is from RNAcentral.